GAUGAACGCUAGCGGGAGGCCUAACACAUGCAAGCCGAGCGGUAUUGUUUCUUCGGCAAUGAGAGAGCGGCGUACGGGUGCGUAACACGUGUGCAACCUGCCUUUAUCUGGGGGAUAGCCUUUCGAAAGGAAGAUUAAUACUCCAUAAUAUAUUGAACGGCAUCGUUUAAUAUUGAAAGCUCCGGCGGCUAGAGAUGGGCACGCGCAAGAUUAGCUAGUUGGUGAGGUAACGGCUCACCAAGGCGAUGAUCUUUAGGGGGCCUGAGAGGGUGAUCCCCCACACUGGUACUGAGACACGGACCAGACUCCUACGGGAGGCAGCAGUGAGGAAUAUUGGUCAAUGGGUGCAAGCCUGAACCAGCCAUCCCGCGUGAAGGACGACUGCCCUAUGGGUUGUAAACUUCUUUUGUAUAGGGAUAAACCUACCCUCGAGAGGGUAGCUGAAGGUACUAGACGAAUAAGCACCGGCUAACUCCGUG
RNAcentral lists this ribosomal RNA (479 nucleotides) under uncultured bacterium. Its description in RNAcentral is "partial 16S ribosomal RNA". It matches the Rfam family "Bacterial small subunit ribosomal RNA", at positions 28 to 507 of the family's 1533-position model. The record is from RNAcentral.